This 364-nucleotide unclassified non-coding RNA is filed under the name uncultured bacterium. RNAcentral describes it as "contains 16S-23S intergenic spacer region". The record is from RNAcentral.
UCCCGGUUGGCCCGGGCAGUCUCGCAUGAAAAAUACAACAUACGAUAAGGGUUGCGCUCGUUGCGGGACUUAACCCAACAUCUCACGACACGAGCUGACGACGGCCAUGCAACACCUGUCACUGAGUUCCCGAAGGCACUCCUGCAUUUCUGCAAGAUUCUCAGGAUGUCAAGCCUUGGUGAGGUUCUUCGCGUAUCGUCAAAUUAAACCACAUCAUCCUCCGCUUGUGCGGGUCCCCGUCAAUUCCUUUGAGUUUUAGCCUUGCGGCCGUACUUCCCAGGCGGCAUACUUAACGCGUUAGCUUCGUCACACAGGGGGUCGAUACCCCAUACGACUAGUAUGCAUCGUUUACGGCGUGGACUAC